UAAUUCUUGUUUUAUAUCACUGGUGUGAUUGAGGAGGAGUGAGUAGGAUCUCAUAUCUAAGAGUUCUUAGGUAGAAGUCACAUGGGUAGAGAUUAAGUGAAAAGACUGUAACUUGAAGUUGUUUACUGAGAGUCUUUGAACUGAUUCUAUUUAGUGGAUUUCCUUCCUGGCUUGGUAACCCCUAGACGUAGGUGGGUUUGCACCGAACUGGGUUAACAAUUGCUUGUGUCUCUUGCAUUACCGUUCUUUAUCUUUUAUCCUGUUUG
Molecule: long non-coding RNA, 266 nt
Filed under: Lathyrus oleraceus (garden pea)
Lineage: Eukaryota; Viridiplantae; Streptophyta; Magnoliopsida; Fabales; Fabaceae
Description: Pisum sativum (pea) long non-coding RNA (PSAT_LNC003480)
Source: RNAcentral